AUCACUGCUCAUUGGUGAAGAUGGAGAAUAGAAGAGUGAACUCUGUGUUUGAGCAUAUGCUUGUUCAUGGAGUGCAGUAAUUUGGAUCCAGACUGCAUGCUACUUCCCAUGGCUGAAGUUUCUUCCAAUUCUUUUUCUGGGGUCACUGAAGAUAUAUCAGUCUCAGAAGCUGUGCUUAAAGCCACUAAAAUCCCCAUUUCAGUAGAUUCUCCUUUACAGAUGGCUUCAAAAG
Octodon degus (degu) is the source of this 232-nucleotide long non-coding RNA. RefSeq lists it as uncharacterized. The record is from RefSeq and is a predicted model, not a curated record. The transcript has 3 exons. NCBI's taxonomy places the organism in Eukaryota, Metazoa, Chordata, Mammalia, Rodentia, Octodontidae.